CUACGGGUUGCACCAGUGGGGAAUAUUGCACAAUGGGGGAAACCCUGAUGCAGCGAUGCCGCGUGAACGAAGAAGGCUUUCGAGUCGUAAAGUUCUGUUCUUAGGGAAGAAAAUGACGGUACCUAAGGAGAAAGCACCGGCUAAAUACGUGCCAGCAGCCGCGGUAAUACGUAUGGUGCAAGCGUUGUCCGGAAUUACUGGGCGUAAAGAGUUCGUAGGCGGUCAAAUAAGUCAGGAGUGAAAGGCUACGGCUCAACCGUAGUGAGCUUUUGAAACUGUUUGACUUGAGUACUGGAGAGGAAAGUGGAAUUCCUAGUGUAGCGGUGAAAUGCGUAGAUAUUAGGAGGAACACCAGUGGCGAAGGCGGCUUUCUGGACAGUAACUGACGCUGAGGAACGAAAGCGUGGGGAGCAAACAGGAUUAGAUACCCCGGUAGUC
RNAcentral lists this ribosomal RNA (438 nucleotides) under uncultured bacterium. RNAcentral describes it as "partial 16S ribosomal RNA". It matches the Rfam family "Bacterial small subunit ribosomal RNA", at positions 339 to 795 of the family's 1533-position model. The record is from RNAcentral.